GGCAUGUCCCUUGUUAUUUUCAAGAUUACACUUGGUUAAAAACUGAUCAGUAGGUGAAAAUAGAAGGAUUACUUUCUUCCGAGAUACAUCAAUGUAAGUACAUCACAGGCAUGGUGCAUCAUCCCUCCAAGAUACAUCAAUGUAGGUACAAUCAGAGACAUACUGCAUCAUCAAGUCAAAAAUUGACUUAGAUAAGGAAUUGAGAUUUCAAAUCAUGAUACUGCAGUCCACAGAACACAAGAAAGGUGAUUUAGACAUUUUAUGACAGAUCACCGGCUCCCAGAUGAUAACCUACACCUACAAACUAUAAGCAUCAUGGGUUUUGGAGUUCUCUUGACUGUUUGCAGCACUGAAGAACAGGCUACUAAUAGUGACCAAAAUUCCUAUUCAUUUACGUACUCUGAAGCACUCAAAUAUUCACCAUGCUCCUCAAAGUACUCAAUCAAUCCCUUCAAGAAUUUAUCACCACUGACUGUUUCAGUAUCACAUACAAGACAGCACUGUCUCCUUGCUCGUGUCACAGCAACAUUCAUUCUUCUUCUGUCACUAAGA
RNAcentral lists this unclassified non-coding RNA (552 nucleotides) under Hevea brasiliensis (rubber tree). The record is from RNAcentral. Lineage: Eukaryota; Viridiplantae; Streptophyta; Magnoliopsida; Malpighiales; Euphorbiaceae.